Molecule: long non-coding RNA, 1039 nt
Filed under: Brassica napus (rape)
Lineage: Eukaryota; Viridiplantae; Streptophyta; Magnoliopsida; Brassicales; Brassicaceae
Description: long non-coding RNA (BNAP_LNC021360)
Source: RNAcentral
CUAUGUUGUACCUUGCACCGGAGAAAUGACAUUUCGCCCAAUUUUUAACAUCGACACUUUUAUCAAGAUACGUAGCACACGAUGGAUACCUCUCCCUAAACUCUUGAUACUGCUGUUCAAACUCAGUCUCUGAAUAAAUUUGUGCAAAUUUCCUGAAUUGUUGUGCAACCUCGUCCCUCCCUUGUUUGACAUGAAGUUUCACAUUGUGUGAUAGAUGCCAGAUACAAUACCCAUGUUUAGCAUCGGAUACACUUCAGCAACGGUUUUUAUCAGACUUGGAUUUCUGUCUGAAACAAACACCAAUUCAGUCGAAUCCGGCAUAACAGUUUUCAACGUUGUGAAAAACCAGUUCCAACUUUCAUUUUUCUCUCCAUCAACGACACUUAACGCUAGAGGAUAAUGGUGACGGUUUGGAUCCUGAGCCGUGUCAAUAAUUAAAACACCACCUUCAACAAUCUUCAGAAAAGUUGUAUCCACAAUGAUGACUUUCCUCAUGUACUGAAACCCUUCAAUGGAAGCUCCCAAUGCAACAAAUAGGUAUUUGAAGGCAGUUUCUCUAACAUAUAUAAAUAAGAAGGCAGUUUCUUGUAUCCUUCCUCAGGACUACCACGCAUAUCCUCAACAACUUGUUUUUUUCCUCUCCAAACCGCCGCAUACGACACUUCCACACCCAAUCUCCUUUUCACCUGUCCGACCAGGGUUUUCAGAGUUGGUGUCUCAAAUAGUCAUGGAUAAUCACUAUGCACUAUACUGCAACACAUCUUGGUGUAGCUUUCCUUUUGAUUUCAGUACUUGAAGUUGCACGAGAGCAUGAAUGCAUCUUUAUGUAUGUUCUAAUCGAGAACGCUUUAGAAUUCCUUAUCUUCGUAGCUCUCACAACCCAUUUACAACCUUCAUCCGCUCCCCGACAUUUCACCACAUAUUGACUCUUAUCCGAGUUCACGAUACUGAUUCCAAAAAUGUUCUGUUGUGAUCCUCUAUCAAUUAAAUCUUUCACAUCCACUUUACUCGGAAAUUCUUGAAACAUCUCAACACCCAA